RNAcentral lists this ribosomal RNA (253 nucleotides) under uncultured prokaryote. RNAcentral's name for it is "partial 16S ribosomal RNA". It matches the Rfam family "Bacterial small subunit ribosomal RNA", at positions 525 to 777 of the family's 1533-position model. The record is from RNAcentral.
ACGAAGGUGGCAAGCGUUGUUCGGAUUCACUGGGCGUACAGGGAGCGUAGGCGGUUGGGUAAGCCCUCCGUGAAAUCUCCAGGCUUAACCUGGAAAGUGCAGAGGGGACUGCUCAGCUAGAGGAUGGGAGAGGAGCGCGGAAUUCCCGGUGUAGCGGUGAAAUGCGUAGAGAUCGGGAGGAACAUCCGUGGCGAAGGCGGCCAUCUGGAUCAACACUGACGCUGAGGCACGAAAGCGUGGGGAGCAAACAGGA